CGAUGUAUGUAUGACUAACUGAAAAAUCUGCAUAAAAAUUUCGGCCUUCAAGUUUUUAGUGUUUUUUUUUUUAACUAACUAGAAUCCCAAAUAACAUCCAAUUCUUCUAAAAGCUAUAAAAAAAUCUGAUAUUGUUUCGAAUAUAUUCGCCCAAUAAAAUUUUAGAAUCAUUAGGCUCUACUUCACUAGAAAGUGAUUGUACACAUAAACAUGUAGACUUUCACCCAGAUGUAGUGACCUAUGGCUAUAAACUUUAUCUACAAAUACGAACUUACACACAACACACUACUACACUACUAUAUUAGUCUAUAUAUAUAAUAGAACACUAAACACUAUUUAUGUAAAUGCCCAUUUUUAAGUUUGUAAAAUAAUAAUUUGUUUUUAUAAAAAAUCUGGCUAUGCCUAUAGUACUCUUAACAAAAUUAUGACUAAAAAUAUUAUGAACGUCGAGUCUCUAGAUUCAUCAUCUUUGUGUGUCUGAUAAACCCAGAGAAUGAAGAUAUAGAAUCUAUAUAGGCCCCCUAUUAUAUAGAAUCUAGCUCUAGUUGACUCUAGACUAGAUCUAGGAUAAUUUCAGAAGUACACAAAGGAUGUUGAAAGGUACCCAAAGGGCUCUAAUUGCUACCAUUCAAUGUGUGGAAUCAAGUAUUUACCCAGAUACUGCCACAAUAUGCUCUUAUUGUUUUCAAAGGAGUUUUCACACAGUGCCAGAAGCUGUAUAAUUACAUUUAACAAUGUAUAUUUCAAGAAGAAAUGAUGCUUUCUUAUUUCUAAGAGUUUAUCAAUAGGAUGAAUGCCACAAAACUCACUUGUUAUGCCAGAAACUCUUCCUACGAAACUUCCAUACUAGAAUUUGUCCAGUGCCUGUGAUCCUCUGAGUUGAAGGAGAAUGUGCUCCAUAAUACCUACUAGGAGCUUGCUGAUAGCUGGAAGUUCAUGAAUACUAUGUUGUCCUUGAUUUGAUGAUUCUGAAAACUACCAUUUCUGAAGACUUGAGCAUUAUUUCUAUAAUUUAAAAAAAUCUUUUCAGGAAAUAUUGUGUUUAUAAUAUUAAGAAAGUGAAGAUAAUAUUGUUCUUACUAAUAUUAUUGACUUAUUAAAAUAGAAAGCACAUCAUUACCAAUAUUCACUUGUCAAUAAAUGUUAGCAUUAUUCAAUUUUUAGUUACAUGUUCAGACUAUUAAAUUUUAUUAUUUAAAUUAUAGCAACUUUCUCUUUCAGUCCAGCUUAAGAUACAUUCCUGUAAAAAGUCUAUGAUAAUAAGUUAAUGUCGAUGUAGUAUUGUUCAGACACUUACAAGUUUAAUCAUCUAUACUUCACAAAAAAAAAGUGUUUGAAUGGUUUUCAUUUGUUUGUACAUCAAAUAUGUAUUAAUAUAAUUAUCAUUUUUAGAUGAAACAUUAAAUACUGAAGAUGACCAUUUCAAUUUCUGAUGUAGGCCUAUUCUCAUUUCAUGAAAUAAACAGAAUAUUAUCUGAAAUUUCA
Long non-coding RNA from Biomphalaria glabrata, 1485 nucleotides. RefSeq lists it as uncharacterized. NCBI's taxonomy places the organism in Eukaryota, Metazoa, Mollusca, Gastropoda, Planorbidae. The transcript has 4 exons. The record is from RefSeq and is a predicted model, not a curated record.